CCUCUUUCUCCAGCUUCUCAGGGCCAGCUCUCCUGCCUGCUAAGACUCCGAAUUGCUAGGGUUUUCUUGCUAGACUUUUCUGAUGAGGAAACUGGAGCUCAGAGAGGGGAAAUGCCUCACCUGAGGUGACACAGCCUAUGAAGGACAGAGCCAUGCCCUUUCUCUGGUAUGGACUACUUCUAACCAGAGCUGCUGUGAGGUUGGGUUGGGACCUGCACUAUCUCAUUUAAUCCUCAGAACAGCCCUGUGGAGGAGUCACUGUGACCCCCGUCAGUGCCUGGACAAGAUAACUGAAGCUCAGAGUAAAACUUCAGUCGCAGGGUGCGUAGCGAUGGGGACGCGUUCUGAGAAGUCAUCGUUGGGCGAUUUCGUCAUUGUGUGAACAUCACAGAGUGUGCUCACACAAACCCAGAUGGCAUGGCCUGCCACACCCCUAGGCUGGAUGGUACAUACCUUACGGGACCACCAGCGUAUGUGCGAUCUGUCACCGACGGUCUGUCUGUCAUUAUGCGGCGCCUGACUGUAUUUGCCCAACUCUUUAUUGCUUCCUUACAAGUGCCCCCCUUCCAUCCCACAGUUAAAACGGGCCAAUUCUCUAGGUAAAGAACUAACCUGGCAGGACUGUCGGGGUCUCUGGGGGCCCCCAUAGGUUGACCGUGCUGGGAACCAGAAUCUGGGUUUGAGGAAAUGAUGUCUUGAAGUGUUCUGCAGGAGGGGCAUUCCUUUUCUCACUCUCUCUAGGGGAAGAGCGGCAGAGGUGGAGGGGCAGGAGCUACACGUGGACCACCGGGAGUGAGGCACAUCUGGGGGCUCGGGGGAGGCCGGGGCUGAGGCCCACGCUCCCUUGCUGGAAGGGAAGCUGGGCAAGCUGGGAGACCAGGCCCCUGCAGCUCCUGUCCCUGUCCACUGCUUCAGCCCGCCCGCACCCGGGCCCAUCUCUCCAGCCUUUGGCCGUCUCCCGGUCCUUGGCUGGUGAGGGGUAAGAAGAGGCCACUUGGCUCUGUAGAAUGGGGCCAGGCCCUCAGGUUGGAGCUGGACGUGCUGCCAGGCUCCUCCUCGGGCCUCUGGAGCCCCCUGCGAGCUCACAGAGACAGAAUGUGUUGAGUUCCCAAGUGGUUUCGUAUAAAGGCUAUGUGUUAACGGGAUCGAGGUGUUCUUCCAAGACCCAGAAUCCCCUGGGGUGCCACGUGGCAUGGAGGGAGGGAAGGUUCUGGGCGUCUCACCCCCUCUUUGGCUGGAGCAGCCUCCUUUUUCUGUCUCAUACGUCAUGAUGGUUUGUUUGAACAAGAGUUGCAUUGCUAAAAAACAUCACAAACAGCCAUGGCCUUCACCUUGCCCAGCUCUUUCUCUAGAAUCCAGAGGGAGACUGAGGCCACUCCAAACCACCCCCCACCUCCCCCAGCACUACCCCCUGUUUAUCCCAUGCCAUCUGUUUGGCCUGACUACCGCAGCAGAACAUGAGACGGUGUGGCCUCGCCCAUCGGCUAUGGAAGCCACUGACAUGCUUGUCUCGCGGCGGGGCCAUCCAGUCUUGUGAUGUGGCUGGAUGGGGGCCCAGAAGGUUUCUUCCACUAUAGAUGGGGCCCUCCCUUCCCGGAGGAAUCUUAGCAAAGACAUUGAGGUGGGACGUCAGGGAAUGACUCACUAGGCUGGCAGGUAGGGGUCAGCCUCCAGCUGUGGCCAGAGUGAUGGGGACAGCCAGCCUCUGCUACUCUAAGUCCCAGCCCCUCUCUCCGACCCUCCACUCUGCUUUGAGACGGUGAAACGGAAGGAACUUGUGCUUGUUUAUUUGUUUGAAGAGCAAAUGCUUUUUUUUUUUGAGAUCGUAUUAUGAUGGUAUAUGGAGGUAGGGAUUAUGCAAGGUUCUCUGGGGAAUUCAAGG
RNAcentral lists this long non-coding RNA (1882 nucleotides) under Equus caballus (horse). Its description in RNAcentral is "lncRNA (ENSECAG00000057444.1)". The record is from RNAcentral. Lineage: Eukaryota; Metazoa; Chordata; Mammalia; Perissodactyla; Equidae.